CAAAGUGUAGCUUAAACCCAAAGCAUCUAGCUUACACCUAGAAGAUUUCAUAUAAAAAUGACCACUUUGAG
This 71-nucleotide transfer RNA is filed under the name Micronycteris megalotis (little big-eared bat). Its description in RNAcentral is "tRNA-Val". It matches the Rfam family "tRNA". From Rfam's summary of the family: Transfer RNA (tRNA) molecules are approximately 80 nucleotides in length. Their secondary structure includes four short double-helical elements and three loops (D, anti-codon, and T loops). Further hydrogen bonds mediate the characteristic L-shaped molecular structure. tRNAs have two regions of fundamental functional importance: the anti-codon, which is responsible for specific mRNA codon recognition, and the 3' end, to which the tRNAs corresponding amino acid is attached (by aminoacyl-tRNA synthetases). tRNAs cope with the degeneracy of the genetic code in two manners: having more than one tRNA (with a specific anti-codon) for a particular amino acid; and 'wobble' base-pairing, i.e. permitting non-standard base-pairing at the 3rd anti-codon position. Lineage: Eukaryota; Metazoa; Chordata; Mammalia; Chiroptera; Phyllostomidae. The record is from RNAcentral. RNAcentral also lists the same sequence under 1 other name.